GUCUUCAACGAGGAAUUCCUAGUAAGCGCGAGUCAUCAGCUCGCAUUGACUACGUCCCUGCCCUUUGUACACACUUCCCGUCACUCCUACCGAUUGAAUGGUCUGAUGAAGUGUUCAGAUCGCGGCGACGUGGGCGGUUCAUUGCCCGCGACAUCGCGAGAAGUCCACUGAACCUUAUCAUUUAGAGGAAGGAGAAGUCGUAACAAGGUUUCCGUAGAUGAACCUGCGGAAGGAUCAUUG
Molecule: non-coding RNA, 240 nt
Filed under: Gossypium arboreum
Lineage: Eukaryota; Viridiplantae; Streptophyta; Magnoliopsida; Malvales; Malvaceae
Description: Eukaryotic small subunit ribosomal RNA
Rfam family: Eukaryotic small subunit ribosomal RNA
Source: Rfam by way of RNAcentral